This 383-nucleotide long non-coding RNA is filed under the name Marmota monax (woodchuck). The record is from RNAcentral. Lineage: Eukaryota; Metazoa; Chordata; Mammalia; Rodentia; Sciuridae.
UUUUUUUAAUUUAGAGACAGGGUUUUACUGAGUUGCUUAGGGCUUCACUAAGUUGCUGAGUCUGGCUUUGAAUGCAUGAUCCUCCUGUCUCAGCCACCCAAGCUGCUGGGAUUGCAGGCAUGCACCACUGCAUCUGGACAAUUUUGAAAGAUUAUUUUCAUUUUUGUUUUUGGAUAUAAAAUUCUUAGCUGACAAGUUUUCUUCUUUACUGCCUUCUUGCACUCAUUAUUUCUAAUGAGAAGUAAGUUGUUAAUCUGAUUGGGGUUCCUUUGUGUGUGGUGAGUUAUUUAUCUCUAAUUUCUUUCAAAUUUUUCCUUGUCUUUGUGUAUUUUUUGUACAAUGUACCUGAGGGUUGAUAUAUUUAUCUUACUUGGAGUUUGUUG